This 279-nucleotide ribosomal RNA is filed under the name uncultured eukaryote. Its description in RNAcentral is "partial large subunit ribosomal RNA". The record is from RNAcentral.
GCGUUUACCCGGGUCAUUGCCGGGAUGGGAUAUGUAGUACUCGAGCCCGAAUACCGCGGAUCGACCGGCUACGGCACUGAUUUCCUGACCGCGAUUUAUCGGCACUUCGGCGACCGCGCCUACCGCGACGUGGACAGCGCAACCGAUUACGCCGUCGCCCAGGGCUGGGCUGAUCCCAACCGGCUGGCCAUCUUCGGCUGGAGCGCCGGCGGCUUCAUGACAUCCUGGACCGUCACUCAAACCAAUCGUUAUAAAGCCGAGACCGAUAGCGCACAAGUA